UUUUAUGGAGAGUUUGAUCCUGGCUCAGGAUGAACGCUGGCGGCGUGCCUAAUACAUGCAAGUCGAGCGAACGGACGAGAAGCUUGCUUCUCUGAUGUUAGCGGCGGACGGGUGAGUAACACGUGGAUAACCUACCUAUAAGACUGGGAUAACUUCGGGAAACCGGAGCUAAUACCGGAUAAUAUUUUGAACCGCAUGGUUCAAAAGUGAAAGACGGUCUUGCUGUCACUUAUAGAUGGAUCCGCGCUGCAUUAGCUAGUUGGUAAGGUAACGGCUUACCAAGGCAACGAUGCAUAGCCGACCUGAGAGGGUGAUCGGCCACACUGGAACUGAGACACGGUCCAGACUCCUACGGGAGGCAGCAGUAGGGAAUCUUCCGCAAUGGGCGAAAGCCUGACGGAGCAACGCCGCGUGAGUGAUGAAGGUCUUCGGAUCGUAAAACUCUGUUAUUAGGGAAGAACAUAUGUGUAAGUAACUGUGCACAUCUUGACGGUACCUAAUCAGAAAGCCACGGCUAACUACGUGCCAGCAGCCGCGGUAAUACGUAGGUGGCAAGCGUUAUCCGGAAUUAUUGGGCGUAAAGCGCGCGUAGGCGGUUUUUAAGUCUGAUGUGAAAGCCCACGGCUCAACCGUGGAGGGUCAUUGGAAACUGGAAAACUUGAGUGCAGAAGAGGAAAGUGGAAUUCCAUGUGUAGCGGUGAAAUGCGCAGAGAUAUGGAGGAACACCAGUGGCGAAGGCGACUUUCUGGUCUGUAACUGACGCUGAUGUGCGAAAGCGUGGGGAUCAAACAGGAUUAGAUACCCUGGUAGUCCACGCCGUAAACGAUGAGUGCUAAGUGUUAGGGGGUUUCCGCCCCUUAGUGCUGCAGCUAACGCAUUAAGCACUCCGCCUGGGGAGUACGACCGCAAGGUUGAAACUCAAAGGAAUUGACGGGGACCCGCACAAGCGGUGGAGCAUGUGGUUUAAUUCGAAGCAACGCGAAGAACCUUACCAAAUCUUGACAUCCUUUGACAACUCUAGAGAUAGAGCCUUCCCCUUCGGGGGACAAAGUGACAGGUGGUGCAUGGUUGUCGUCAGCUCGUGUCGUGAGAUGUUGGGUUAAGUCCCGCAACGAGCGCAACCCUUAAGCUUAGUUGCCAUCAUUAAGUUGGGCACUCUAAGUUGACUGCCGGUGACAAACCGGAGGAAGGUGGGGAUGACGUCAAAUCAUCAUGCCCCUUAUGAUUUGGGCUACACACGUGCUACAAUGGACAAUACAAAGGGCAGCGAAACCGCGAGGUCAAGCAAAUCCCAUAAAGUUGUUCUCAGUUCGGAUUGUAGUCUGCAACUCGACUACAUGAAGCUGGAAUCGCUAGUAAUCGUAGAUCAGCAUGCUACGGUGAAUACGUUCCCGGGUCUUGUACACACCGCCCGUCACACCACGAGAGUUUGUAACACCCGAAGCCGGUGGAGUAACCUUUUAGGAGCUAGCCGUCGAAGGUGGGACAAAUGAUUGGGGUGAAGUCGUAACAAGGUAGCCGUAUCGGAAGGUGCGGCUGGAUCACCUCCUUUCUAA
Molecule: ribosomal RNA, 1556 nt
Filed under: Staphylococcus aureus
Lineage: Bacteria; Bacillati; Bacillota; Bacilli; Caryophanales; Staphylococcaceae
Description: 16S ribosomal RNA
Rfam family: Bacterial small subunit ribosomal RNA
Source: RNAcentral